RNAcentral lists this ribosomal RNA (422 nucleotides) under uncultured bacterium. RNAcentral describes it as "bacterial SSU rRNA". It matches the Rfam family "Bacterial small subunit ribosomal RNA", at positions 794 to 1216 of the family's 1533-position model. The record is from RNAcentral.
UCCACGCCGUAAACGAUGUCUACUAGCCGUUGGAGAACUUGAUUCUUUAGUGGCGCAGCUAACGCACUAAGUAGACCGCCUGGGGAGUACGGCCGCAAGGUUAAAACUCAAAUGAAUUGACGGGGGCCCGCACAAGCGGUGGAGCAUGUGGUUUAAUUCGAUGCAACGCGAAGAACCUUACCUGGUCUUGACAUCCUGCGAACUUUCUAGAGAUAGAUUGGUGCCUUCGGGAACGCAGAGACAGGUGCUGCAUGGCUGUCGUCAGCUCGUGUUGUGAAAUGUUGGGUUAAGUCCCGUAACGAGCGCAACCCUUAUCCUUAUUUGCCAGCACUUCGGGUGGGAACUCUAAGGAGACUGCCGGUGACAAACCGGAGGAAGGUGGGGACGACGUCAAGUCAUCAUGGCCCUUACGACCAGGGCUA